Molecule: non-coding RNA, 1300 nt
Organism: Paramuricea clavata
Lineage: Eukaryota; Metazoa; Cnidaria; Anthozoa; Malacalcyonacea; Plexauridae
Source: the annotation of a GenBank genome assembly
GUUCUCAUUACUAACAACCGGUGUCUCAUAUUACAUCACAAAGCUUUUCGCGCGGAUUAUAUUUCGCACAUAAUUAAAAUUCGCGCAACCCAGCGCUGCGUGAAUUCUAGUACUGCCCAAAUUUUUAUACCGAAGCAAGGUAUAUGAAAUUGUAGCAACAAGUCAUGUUAUGCAAGUUUUUAAUGAUUUAGAUCCAGGUUUAUUAGCAUAGCAUGAUCAGUUGCUAUCUUUUGGGUUUUAUCAAGAGAGCAUGUAAGGAGAUAAGAAACCCCAGAACAAGAAGAUGCCUGUUCCUAGCGAUUGCACGACCUCAUCUUGGCUACGCCACGCAGAUUUGGGCUCCUCAGACAAUUGAUCUGAUUAAACGGGUAGAACGAGUUCAGCGCCGUGCAUCCAAAUUUAUUCUAAAUCUUCCAUACGAUUGUCAGACCAACUACAAGAAUCGGCUUAAAGUAAGCAAGUUAUUACCGCUUAGUUUCUGGCACGAAUAUUUAGACCUCGUGUUCUUAUUCAAGAUGAUGAAUGGUUUGGUGCAUGUUAGCGAUGACAUUAUUCCAGAAAGGAAUGUUGGGAAAGCGAAAAGAACAAGAGCCACGAGCAACCCAGAAAGCAUCUUGCUCCGUGAGACGAAAUGCAGAACGGUGACAUUUCAACGCUCGUUCAUCAACAGAUCGACCAGGAUAUGGAACAUUCUGCCUGAUGAACUGAGACAUCAAUCUUUAAGCUUAGUCAAAUUUAAAUCUUUAUUACUCGAUUACUACCGUUCUGCUUUAAAUCUAGUCUAUGAUCACGAUAAUCCACGGACAUGGAAAUCUAUCUGCCUAAAGUGCAACAAGGCUCGAAGUCUGGAUAGUCCAAUCUCUUGUUGUUUUUAGCGAGUUUGGGAUUUGGCUUUCGCCGCCACUACCGCUACCUCUCGCUGACCUGAUGUGCAUGUAAUUGGUUAGCUCGAUAAACUAUAAUAAUAUUGUUGGUGGCGGUAGUGGCGGUGGAAGUUGAAUCUUGUCUUUGCUAUGUAUUGCAUUGCAUUGCAUUGUAUUGCAUUGUAUUGCAUUGUAUUGCAUUGCACUGCAUUGCAUAAUAUUCAAUUUUGUUCUGUGCGAUGUAGUUUUGUUUUGCGAUAUGUUGUUUUGUGUUGUAUUCUUAAAAUUUAGCAAUUUUUAAAGGGCCCACAGUAAUUGGUGUAUACUGUUGUGGUGUCCCUGCCACUUGUUUGUUGUAAGUGGCGAAGUUUAAUAAAUAAAUAAAUAAGUUGCCGUGGCUAGCUUGCCACUGAAUACUGUACAAUGUCAUAUUGUCA